UACGGGGGGGGCAAGCGUUGUUCGGAAUUACUGGGCGUAAAGGGCUCGUAGGCGGCCAACUAAGUCAGACGUGAAAUCCCCAGGCUCAACCUGGGAACUGCGUCUGAUACUGGUUGGCUUGAAUCCGGGAGAGGGAUGCAGAAUUCCAGGUGUAGCGGUGAAAUGCGUAGAUAUCUGGAGGAAUACCGGUGGCGAAGGCGGCAUCCUGGGCCGGCAUUGACGCUGAGGAGCGAAAGCCAGGGGAGCAAAUGGG
This 253-nucleotide ribosomal RNA is filed under the name uncultured bacterium. RNAcentral's name for it is "partial 16S ribosomal RNA". It matches the Rfam family "Bacterial small subunit ribosomal RNA", at positions 524 to 776 of the family's 1533-position model. The record is from RNAcentral.